Molecule: ribosomal RNA, 406 nt
Filed under: uncultured bacterium
Lineage: Bacteria
Description: partial 16S ribosomal RNA
Rfam family: Bacterial small subunit ribosomal RNA
Source: RNAcentral
AUUGAACGCUGGCGGCAGGCCUAACACAUGCAAGUAGAGCGAGCGGCGGACGGGUGAGUACUGUCUGGGAAACUGCAUGUAGGAGGCGGAUAACUACUGGAAACGGUAUCUAAUACCGCAUACCAUCAGAUUUGCCCAGAUGCGAUUAGCUAGUAGUUGGGGUAACAGCUCACCUAGGCGACGAUCCUUAGCUCGUCUGAGAGGAUGACCAGCCACACUGGAACUGAGAGACGGUCCAGACUCCUACGGGAGGCAGCAGUGGGGAAUCUGGCGCAAUGGGCGAAAGCCUGAUGGAGCCAGGCCGCGUGUGUGAAGAAGGCCUUCGGAUUGUAAAGCACUUUCGGCGGGGAGGCGUUAUCAGCCGAGGAAGCACCGGCUAACUCCGUGCCAGCAGCCGCGGUAAUAC